RNAcentral lists this ribosomal RNA (215 nucleotides) under Clostridioides difficile. Its description in RNAcentral is "partial 23S ribosomal RNA". It matches the Rfam family "Bacterial large subunit ribosomal RNA", at positions 1174 to 1396 of the family's 2925-position model. Lineage: Bacteria; Bacillati; Bacillota; Clostridia; Peptostreptococcales; Peptostreptococcaceae. The record is from RNAcentral.
UCCGGGGCUAAAACUUACUACCGAAGCUACGGCAUCAGUAAUGAUGGGUAGGGGAGCUUCCCAUACGGGUUGAAGCAUGACCGUAAGGACAUGUGGACAGUAUGGGAGUGAGAAUGUUGGCAUGAGUAGCGAGAUGUGGGGGAGAAUCCCACAGGCCGUAAACCCAAGGUUUCCAGGGGAAGGUUCGUCCGCCCUGGGUUAGUCGGGACCUAAGC